GGUGUGUGUGUGUUAGCAACUCUGAUUACCUCAUGCAAAUACUAAAAUGUCAGAAACUGUUCGGCCUUUUAUGUUUAAACCAGAGUCAGACAAAGAUGGAGAGACUCAAGAAGAAGUGACAACAUGUGGAAUGCAACAGGACAGGACAUCUCUGAAUGGAACAUUACCCACUAACUAAAGUGAGAAAAGUGACAUCAAAAUCAACCACCCCUUUAAAGCUUUUUGUCUUGAAAAAGGCGGUUGCUGACAAGUGCCUGUCGGGGACAAUAAACAUCAUCACACCAAGGCCAAGCAGGUGACGAGUGAACACGAAGACAGGCGAUCUGGAUCAGGAUGAUAGACGGAAGACGGACAGUAGACUGGAUACAGGACGAGACGAUCUCAGGUGGGUAAAUAAGGAGUCUAUACUGCAACAAGACCAGACAAGGAGUGAAAGGGACAUAUAAAGGGUGUGUUGAUGGAGUGCAGGUGCAACGAGUCACCAGUACUCUGGUGAUUGUGAACGAGUGGGCGGGUCCUGGUGAUUGAGUGAUGAUUGGGGCUGUGACGGUGUGUGACAGUAACCCCUCCUCCAUGGCUGGCUCCUGAUGGCCUCUGCAGUGGGGUCGGCCUCGACCUCGGGGGGCUGGGCGGUCUUCGUGGAACUGGGUGAGUAGCAACGGAUACAGGACGUCAUCCCGAGACAUUCAUGAGCGUUCUUAUGGACCAUAUCUCUCCCAGUCAAUCAGGAACUCAAGGCGGCCGCCCCGCCGAGGAUGAGUCAAGGAUGGAAUGGACUCGGUACACUAGAUCAGUGACAUCUAGAGUCUAUGUUGGGCCACCAGUAGCGAUCCUGUAAGAGCGAGAGGGUUUGCUGGCUGCCUGGGUGUUCUCUCCCGGCUCUCCAGAGAGAGCCUCCAGGGCUUUGUAGAAGGAACCCACAGCAAUCCUCCACCUCACCGUUGUAUGUUGCUGGUUGGGCCAUGGGAUUGGCACAGGGCAGGUGGCGAAGGAGCGGGUGGUGCAGAGGGGAGUUUGCUGAACCGCCUGGGCAAACUGCUC
This is a long non-coding RNA of Pimephales promelas (fathead minnow), 1041 nucleotides long. RefSeq lists it as uncharacterized. The record is from RefSeq and is a predicted model, not a curated record. Lineage: Eukaryota; Metazoa; Chordata; Actinopteri; Cypriniformes; Leuciscidae.